Molecule: ribosomal RNA, 456 nt
Filed under: Pichia kudriavzevii
Lineage: Eukaryota; Fungi; Ascomycota; Pichiomycetes; Pichiales; Pichiaceae
Description: eukaryotic LSU rRNA
Rfam family: Eukaryotic large subunit ribosomal RNA
Source: RNAcentral
GCCCUCAGUAGCGGCGAGUGAGGCGGCAAGGAGCUCAGAUUUGAAUCGUGCUUUGCGGCACGAGUUGUAGAUUGCAGGUUGGAGUCUGUGUGGAAGGCGGUGUCCAAGUCCCUUGGAACAGGGCGCCCAGGAGGGUGAGAGCCCCGUGGGAUGCCGGCGGAAGCAGUGAGGCCCUUCUGACGAGUCGAGUUGUUUGGGAAUGCAGCUCCAAGCGGGUGGUAAAUUCCAUCUAAGGCUAAAUACUGGCGAGAGACCGAUAGCGAACAAGUACUGUGAAGGAAAGAUGAAAAGCACUUUGAAAAGAGAGUGAAACAGCACGUGAAAUUGUUGAAAGGGAAGGGUAUUGCGCCCGACAUGGGGAUUGCGCACCGCUGCCUCUCGUGGGCGGCGCUCUGGGCUUUCCCUGGGCCAGCAUCGGUUCUUGCUGCAGGAGAAGGGGUUCUGGAACGUGGCUCU